This 318-nucleotide signal recognition particle RNA is filed under the name Thermoplasmata archaeon. RNAcentral's name for it is "signal recognition particle sRNA". It matches the Rfam family "Archaeal signal recognition particle RNA". The record is from RNAcentral. Lineage: Archaea; Methanobacteriati; Thermoplasmatota; Thermoplasmata.
GCGCAGGAUAGGCUGGGGGGUUAGGGGUCCCCUGCAACCGGAAAGCCCCUAUACGCCGGAGCCGAAAGCCGGAGGGCGGCACACUGGUGUAAGGGGCGAUCCACCCAUCAACGAUGAGACCUCGUCCCCAGGGAUUGGGGGUGGCGGUAGCAUGUUGUCGGAAGGCAACAUGCCCGCCUUUGCCGCGAAAACCGGGUCAGGCCCGGAAGGGAGCAGCCUCAUCGCGGACCGCCGAUGCUCUGGGGGUAAACGGGGUUAAGAAGGUGGGUGGGCUAAAUCGCCCCUAUACCAGCGUGUCCACCUCCGGUUCUCCUGCGC